GAUGAACGCUAGCGGCAGGCUUAAUACAUGCAAGUCAAGGGGGUAGCAAUACAACCGGCGCACGGGUGAGUAACGCGUACACAACAUGCCAUAUACUGGAGUAUAGCUUUGGGAAACUGAAGGUAAUCCUCCAUAAUAUUACGGAUAGGCAUCUAUUUGUAAUUAAAGUUUCGACGGUAUAUGAUUGGUGUGCGUUUGAUUAGCUAGUUGGUAGGUAACGGCCUACCAAGGCUACGAUCAAUAGCUGGCGUGAGAGCGCGACCAGCCACACUGGAACUGAGACACGGUCCAGACUCCUACGGGAGGCAGCAGUAGGGAAUAUUGGACAAUGGGCGAAAGCCUGAUCCAGCCAUGCCGCGUGAUAGAUGAAGGCCC
This 375-nucleotide ribosomal RNA is filed under the name uncultured bacterium. Its description in RNAcentral is "bacterial SSU rRNA". It matches the Rfam family "Bacterial small subunit ribosomal RNA", at positions 28 to 417 of the family's 1533-position model. The record is from RNAcentral.